CCUACGGGAGGCAGCAGUGGGGAAUAUUGCACAAUGGGGGAAACCCUGAUGCAGCAACGCCGCGUGGGUGAAGGAGCGUUUCGGCGCGUAAAGCCCUGUCAGCAGGGAAGAAAUAUCGACCUUUGGUUCGCCCUACGGUACCUGAUUCAGACGCCCCGGCUAACUACGUGCCAGCAGCCGCGGUAAUACGUAGGGGGCAAGCGUUAUCCGGAUUUACUGGGUGUAAAGGGAGCGUAGACGGCAGCGCAAGUCUGGAGUGAAAUGCCGGGGCUUAAACCCGGAACUGCUUUGGAAACUGUGCAGCUAGAGUGCAGGAGAGGUAAGUGGAAUUCCUAGUGUAGCGGUGAAAUGCGUAGAUAUUAGGAGGAACACCAGUGGCGAAGGCGGCUUACUGGACUGUAACUGACGUUGAGGCUCGAAAGCGUGGGGAGCAAACAGGAUUAGAUACCCUAGUAGUC
Molecule: ribosomal RNA, 458 nt
Filed under: uncultured bacterium
Lineage: Bacteria
Description: partial 16S ribosomal RNA
Rfam family: Bacterial small subunit ribosomal RNA
Source: RNAcentral